RNAcentral lists this ribosomal RNA (433 nucleotides) under uncultured bacterium. RNAcentral describes it as "partial 16S ribosomal RNA". It matches the Rfam family "Bacterial small subunit ribosomal RNA", at positions 29 to 507 of the family's 1533-position model. The record is from RNAcentral.
AGCGAACGCUGGCGGCAGGCCUAACACAUGCAAGUCGAACGAACUCUUCGGAGUUAGUGGCGGACGGGUGAGUAACACGUGGGAACGUGCCUUUAGGUUCGGAAUAACUCAGGGAAACUUGUGCUAAUACCGAAUGUGCCCUUCGGGGGAAAGAUUUAUCGCCUUUAGAGCGGCCCGCGUCUGAUUAGCUAGUUGGUGAGGUAAAGGCUCACCAAGGCGACGAUCAGUAGCUGGUCUGAGAGGAUGAUCAGCCACAUUGGGACUGAGACACGGCCCAAACUCCUACGGGAGGCAGCAGUGGGGAAUCUUGCGCAAUGGGCGAAAGCCUGACGCAGCCAUGCCGCGUGAAUGAUGAAGGUCUUAGGAUUGUAAAAUUCUUUCACCGGGGACGAUAAUGACGGUACCCGGAGUAGAAGCCCCGGCUAACUUCGUG